Long non-coding RNA from Myodes glareolus (Bank vole), 1119 nucleotides. RefSeq lists it as uncharacterized. Lineage: Eukaryota; Metazoa; Chordata; Mammalia; Rodentia; Cricetidae. The record is from RefSeq and is a predicted model, not a curated record.
AGAGAGAUUUCCUCUUGCUGACGAAGGGAAAGGCCCCUUUAACAUUUUUUUUCUCUGUCUCUACACGGUGGCGGCUGCCAGACUAGGUGGGGCUCGCUCCCUUGCCUUCCUUCUGCCACUUCCCGCAACAAAUGAAGACUUUGGGUUCCAGAGUGGAUAAGCUGACAAUGGGCUGGAACUGGCUUGAUGGUCUGAGUUGGAUCUUCAGUUCCCACAUGGUGGAAGGAGAGAACUAGCUUCUGUUGUCCUCUGUCCUCCACAAGAGGGGCACCGUGGCACCAGAAGAACACACACAGGAGACUGAUCACAUGGAUUGAAUGAGGAAGAAUGAAGAACAGCAGCGUGGGAGAAGAUAAGGAAAAGAUCCAGUGAGGGGAAGCACGGUUUCACCAUGCCAUAGAAACCUCUGGUGACAUGACCAGUCAAGAGUUCAGGCAGGUGAUGGAUGGCUGCCAGCAAAGUACAAGGGAAGAACGUUCGGGAACAUUUACUGUGUCAGAUCCCCCAAGUCUGUGGUUUAGAGAGAGAAGAACUUCUGGGGCUCCUCUGAGGAAUCAGGGCCAGUGUGGGUCUUGUCCGACUUUUAGAACAACUGAGGUCCUAGAAGGACAGAGGGUUCGGAAGACUGGCAAAGUGGUCCAGAAAAGACUAUUCUGUGGGCUAGUCUCAGGUUCGAGGCAAUCAGGACUGUUAUGGUGGAUGGAUGGAUUAUGCUUUUUGUUAUAUUAAGUACGACAAAAACCUGACUUCAGAAGUCUUCCAUUCUUUUGAAACAUAGGGUGCAGCCUUGUAAGUCUGAUUCGGUCUCUUAUGGCUAACACACCACAUUUGUGGACAUUGCUCAGUAGGAGAAGCCCCUAGUAGAGGUGGUGAGUGUGGAGCCCACGGGUGGCGCAAUUAUUCCAUCCGUCGCAUUCUUCCAGCUCGACAAGCCCAUCAUCUGCUGAAUGAGAAGUGAUGGUGAGAGAGCGGUCCCCAGAGGUUUGUAGGUUUAACACUUGGUCCCCUCUUGCCAACACUGGGAAGGAUUAGGAGGUUUCAUCUUCUUGGAAGAGGUAUCUUGUGGAAUAUUAGUUUAAUAUGCGUUACAUUUGUUUAUGCUGUGGGAUAUUUGUUUAA